This 450-nucleotide ribosomal RNA is filed under the name uncultured bacterium. Its description in RNAcentral is "bacterial SSU rRNA". It matches the Rfam family "Bacterial small subunit ribosomal RNA", at positions 354 to 796 of the family's 1533-position model. The record is from RNAcentral.
GUCGAGGAUAUUUAGCAAUGGGGGAAACCCUGACUAUGUGACGCCGCGUGAGGGAUGAAGGUUCUCGGAUCGUAAACCUCUUUCGAUGGGGAAGAAGUGCUGCAUACUAAUAUUAUGCAGCAUUGACGGUACCCAGAGAAGAAGCCACGGCCAACUCCGUGCCAGCAGCCGCGGUAAUACGGGGGUGGCGAGCGUUACUCGGAUUUAUUGGGUGUAAAGGACAGGUAGGCGAUCUGCCAAGUUGGAAGUGAAAUCCUUUGGCUCAACCAAAGAACUGCUUCCAAAACUGGCGGAAUUGAGGCUGGAAGAGGAGAGCGGAAUUCCCGGUGUAAGGGUGAAAUCUGUAGAUAUCGGGAGGAACACCAGUGGCGAAAGCGGCUCUCUGGUCUAGAUCUGACGCUGAGCUGUGAAAGCUCGGGGAGCAAACAGGAUUAGAUACCCCUGUAGUCC